This 567-nucleotide ribosomal RNA is filed under the name uncultured Actinomycetes bacterium. RNAcentral describes it as "bacterial SSU rRNA". It matches the Rfam family "Bacterial small subunit ribosomal RNA", at positions 338 to 916 of the family's 1533-position model. The record is from RNAcentral. Lineage: Bacteria; Bacillati; Actinomycetota; Actinomycetes.
CCUACGGGAGGCAGCAGUGGGGAAUAUUGGGCAAUGGGCGCAAGCCUGACCCAGCGACGCCGCGUGAGGGAUGAAGGCCUUCGGGUUGUAAACCUCUUUCAGUAGGGAAGAAGCGAAAGUGACGGUACCUAAAGAAGAAGCACCGGCUAACUAUGUGCCAGCAGCCGCGGUAAUACAUAGGGUGCAAGCGUUGUCCGGAAUUAUUGGGCGUAAAGAGCUCGUAGGUCGUUUGCCGCGUCGAUUGUGAAAAUCUGAGGCUCAACCUCAGACCUGCAGUCGAUACGGGCAAACUAGAGUGUGGUAGGGGAGACUGGAAUUCCUGGUGUAGCGGUGGAAUGCGCAGAUAUCAGGAGGAACACCAAUGGCGAAGGCAGGUCUCUGGGCCAUAACUGACACUGAGGAGCGAAAGCGCGGGGAGCGAACAGGAUUAGAUACCCUGGUAGUCCGCGCCGUAAACGGUGGGCACUAGCUGUGAGGACCUUCCACGGUCUUCGCGACGCAGCAAACGCAUUAAGUGCCCCGCCUGGGGAGUACGAUCGCAAGAUUAAAACUCAAAGGAAUUGACGG